GCCGGGUGCGGUGGCAUGUGCCUGUAAUCCAAGUCACUGGGAGGCCGAGGUUGGUGGAUCAAGUGAGCUGAGGAGCUCUGGGCUGUAGCACGCUAUAUCGAACGGGUGUCCACGCUAAGUUCGGUAUCGAUAUGGUGUUCCUGGGGGAGCCCGGUACCACCAGGUUGUCUAAGGAGGGGUGAACCGGCCCAGGUCGGAAACGAAGCAGGUCAAAUCCCCCGUGCUGUCCAGUAGUGGGAUAAUAGAUAAUGGCGCAGACAGAGAUGGCCGCCUCGCUUCGCGUUCCUAGGAAACUAU
RNAcentral lists this signal recognition particle RNA (297 nucleotides) under Oncorhynchus kisutch (coho salmon). RNAcentral's name for it is "Metazoan signal recognition particle RNA (ENSOKIG00005033978.1)". It matches the Rfam family "Metazoan signal recognition particle RNA". Rfam says of the family: The signal recognition particle (SRP) is a universally conserved ribonucleoprotein. It is involved in the co-translational targeting of proteins to membranes. The eukaryotic SRP consists of a 300-nucleotide 7S RNA and six proteins: SRPs 72, 68, 54, 19, 14, and 9. The record is from Rfam by way of RNAcentral. Lineage: Eukaryota; Metazoa; Chordata; Actinopteri; Salmoniformes; Salmonidae.